This 459-nucleotide ribosomal RNA is filed under the name uncultured bacterium. RNAcentral's name for it is "bacterial SSU rRNA". It matches the Rfam family "Bacterial small subunit ribosomal RNA", at positions 923 to 1379 of the family's 1533-position model. The record is from RNAcentral.
GCACAAGCGGUGGAGCAUGUGGUUUAAUUCGACGCAACGCGCAGAACCUUACCAGCCCUUGACAUCCCGGUCGCGGACUCCAGAGACGGAGUUCUUCAGUUCGGCUGGACCGGAGACAGGUGCUGCAUGGCUGUCGUCAGCUCGUGUCGUGAGAUGUUGGGUUAAGUCCCGCAACGAGCGCAACCCCCGUCCUUAGUUGCUACCAUUUAGUUGAGCACUCUAAGGAGACUGCCGGUGAUAAGCCGCGAGGAAGGUGGGGAUGACGUCAAGUCCUCAUGGCCCUUACGGGCUGGGCUACACACGUGCUACAAUGGCGGUGACAAUGGGAUGCGAAGACGCAAGUCCUAGCAAAUCUCAAAAAGCCGUCUCAGUUCGGAUUGGGCUCUGCAACUCGAGCCCAUGAAGUUGGAAUCGCUAGUAAUCGCGGAUCAGCACGCCGCGGUGAAUACGUUCCCGGGC